This 274-nucleotide ribosomal RNA is filed under the name uncultured bacterium. RNAcentral describes it as "partial 16S ribosomal RNA". It matches the Rfam family "Bacterial small subunit ribosomal RNA", at positions 523 to 796 of the family's 1533-position model. The record is from RNAcentral.
AUACGGAGGGGGCUAGCGUUGUUCGGAAUUACUGGGCGUAAAGCGCGCGUAGGCGGUUUUCCAAGUUGGGGGUGAAAUCCCGAGGCUCAACCUCGGAACUGCACCCGAUACUGCCUGGCUGGAGUCCCGGAGAGGAUGGCGGAAUUUCCGGUGUAGAGGUGAAAUUCGUAGAUAUCGGGAAGAACACCAGUGGCGAAGGCGGCCACCUGGCCCGGUACUGACGCUGAGGUGCGAAAGCGUGGGGAGCAAACAGGAUUAGAAACCCGAGUAGUCC